This 87-nucleotide transfer RNA is filed under the name Actinomycetes bacterium. RNAcentral describes it as "tRNA-Ser". It matches the Rfam family "tRNA". From Rfam's summary of the family: Transfer RNA (tRNA) molecules are approximately 80 nucleotides in length. Their secondary structure includes four short double-helical elements and three loops (D, anti-codon, and T loops). RNAcentral also lists the same sequence under 3 other names. The record is from RNAcentral. Lineage: Bacteria; Bacillati; Actinomycetota; Actinomycetes.
GGAGGGGUCGCAUAGUCUGGCCUAGUGCGCGCGCCUGGAAAGCGCGUAUGUGGAAACGCAUCGAGGGUUCGAAUCCCUCCCCCUCCG